UAGGAUUAUAGUUUAAUAAAACAGUUAUUUUGCAAAUAAAAGAUAUAAUAAUAUUAAUCUG
This 61-nucleotide transfer RNA is filed under the name Leptynoptera sulfurea. Its description in RNAcentral is "tRNA-Ala". The record is from RNAcentral. Lineage: Eukaryota; Metazoa; Arthropoda; Insecta; Hemiptera; Triozidae.